AGCAGUCGCCGCGGGAAUACGUAGGGUGCAAGCGUUAAUCGGAAUUACUGGGCGUAAAGCGUGCGCAGGCGGUUCGCUAAGACAGAUGUGAAAUCCCCGGGCUUAACCUGGGAACUGCAUUUGUGACUGGCUGGCUAGAGUAUGGCAGAGGGGGGUAGAAUUCCACGUGUAGCAGUGAAAUGCGUAGAGAUGUGGAGGAAUACCGAUGGCGAAGGCAGCCCCCUGGGCCAAUACUGACGCUCAUGCACGAAAGCGUGGGGAGCAAACAGGAUUAGAUACCCCAGUAGUCCCUGUCUCUUAUAC
Molecule: ribosomal RNA, 303 nt
Filed under: uncultured bacterium
Lineage: Bacteria
Description: partial 16S ribosomal RNA
Rfam family: Bacterial small subunit ribosomal RNA
Source: RNAcentral